CACCUCCCAGGUUCAAGUGAUUCUCCUGCCUCAGCCUCCCGAGUAGCUGUGAUUACAGGCAUGUGCCACCAUGCCCAGCUAAUUUUUGUAUUUUUAGUAGAGGCGGGGUUUCACCCUGUUGGCCAGGCUGGUCUCCAACGCCUGACAGCUUUCUCAUAAGCUCAUGGUGGCCCUUCUGUCACUGACAGCUGCCAUUCUGAUUCACCUAAUUACCAUAAACAAGAAGUGGAAGUGCACCGUUAGUCACCUUUUGAGUCUAAACUAUCAAAUAUGGGCCGGUGGUGGCUCACACCUGUAAUUCUGGCACUUUGGGAGGCCAAGGCAGGCGGAUUGCCUGAAGUCAGGAGUUCGAUCACUUGAACCAGGGAGGCAGAGGUUGCAGUGAGCCAAGAUCGCACCACUGCAUUCCAGCCUGGGUGACAGGGCGAGACUCCGUCUCAAAAAAAUAAAAAAUAAAAAUAUUUUAUGAGGUAAGCCUGGGUGACAGAGCCAGACUCCAUCUCAAAAAACAAACAAAACAGAAUUUGUGUUUUCUACUGUGUGAGCCAUUGGCAGUCAAGUCUGGCUCGGUGGCUCAUGCCUGUAAUCCCAGCACUUUGGGAGACCGAGGCAGGCGGAUCACCUGAGGUCAGGAGUUCAAGACCAGGCUGACCAACAUGGAGAAACCCCAUCUCUACUAAAAAUACAAAAUUAGCCGGGUGUGGUGGCGCAUGCCUGUAAUCCCAGCUACUUGGGAGGCUGAGUUCCUUAUUUCUUGUAAGAUGGUCUGUCAGUUUGCCUGCCUGACACAGUACUCAUUUCUGGGAACAAACUGAUCUGAGGGGAGCAGGGACACCCCAUCACCUAUAUAUUCCAUGUGAUCUGGGCAGGCUGACGUCACUCCCUACCACACAACAGGCAAUAAGCAAGCCUGGCCAAAUCAGAGGAAGCCAUACUGCCUGGAGACUGGUUUAGGAGGGCCUACCAACGAGCCAGGGCCAAUGAGAGAUUCCCCACAGUGAAAUCAAUCAAGGGGUAAGAAGAGGCAACUGGAGAAAGACCAAGAGCCCCAGUCCAUUGCUGCUGGAAACCAUAUCUACCCCUAGGAUUUUUCCAUUUUAUGAGCUAAUGCGUUUUUUGUUUUUGUUUUUUUUGAGACAGAGUCUUGUUCUGUCUCCAAGGCUAGAAUGCAAUGGCACAAUCUCGGCUCACUGCAACCUCCACUUCCCGAGUUCAAGCAGUUCUCAGCCUCCUGAGUAGCUGAGAUUACAGGUGCCUGCCGCUGCACCCAGCUAAUUUUUGUAUUUUUUAGUAGAGAUGAGGUUCUGCCAUGCUGGCCAGGCUAGUCUCCAACUCCCGACCUCAGGUGAUCCACCCACCUCAGCCUCCCAAAGUGCUGGGAUUACAGGGGUGAGCCACCACGCCCGGCCACUAAUACAUUUUUUUUUAAAGAGACAGGAUCUUGCUGUAUUGCCCAGGCUUUAGUGCAGUGGUGUGAUCAUAGCUCACUGCAGCCUCAAACUCCUGAGCUGAGGCGAUCCUCCCGGCCUCAGCCUCACAAGUAUGUAGAACUACAGGUGCGCCACCAGGCCUGGCUAAUUUUGUUUUAAUUUUUCGUAUAGGGGUCUCGCUGUGUUGCCCAGCUGCUCUCCAACUCCCAGCCUCAAGCAAUCCUCCUGCUUCAGCACUGAUCUCACUCAGUGGUUCAGUGGGAUUACAGCCGUGAGCCACUGCACCCAGCCAUAAAUUCUUUUAUAUUUAAAGCAGUUUGAGUCGUUUCCGACCCCUACAACAUAAAGAGUCCUGUCUACUAUUCUCCUCAGGAGACAAAAUCUCUUCCCCUCAGCCCCAACAUCAAAUACAAAGCAUUCAGCCUCGUUAGUCAAAACUGAUCACAAUAAUAGCCUUUAUAGGUGUUUCUAGAGAGAUGGGGUGAGAAAAAAUAGGAUAUAAAUAACCAUUAUUUACAACUUGCAACAGUAAAGUUCCCCCAGACACCCCUUCAAGAUUGAACUCCAAAGCCUCUGGGGCAGAGACUGGGCACCACCGAGCAAAUACAAAAAUCCACGCUCUGACUCCAGGUGCGGAUGGAGGAGACGC
Molecule: long non-coding RNA, 2079 nt
Filed under: Homo sapiens (human)
Lineage: Eukaryota; Metazoa; Chordata; Mammalia; Primates; Hominidae
Description: non-protein coding lnc-EID2B-1:1
Source: RNAcentral